UGGGGAAUAUUGCACAAUGGGGGAAACCCUGAUGCAGCAACGCCGCGUGAGUGAUGAAGGCCUUCGGGUUGUAAAGCUCUUUGAUUAGGGACGAUAAUGACGGUACCUAAAGAACAAGCCACGGCUAACUACGUG
Molecule: ribosomal RNA, 135 nt
Filed under: uncultured bacterium
Lineage: Bacteria
Description: partial 16S rRNA
Rfam family: Bacterial small subunit ribosomal RNA
Source: RNAcentral